GACGAACGCUGGCGGCGUGCUUAACACAUGCAAGUCGUACGGUAAGGCCCUUUCGGGGGUUCACGAGUGGCGCACGGGAGGGUAACACGGGAGUAACCUGCCCACAACUUUGGGAUAACGCUAGGAAACUGGUGCUAAUACUGGAUAUAUGCUUCUGCAGCAUGGAGGGGGUUGGAAAGCUCCGGCGGAUUUGGAUGGACGCGCGGCCUAUCGGCUUGUUGGUGGGGUAGUGGCCUCCCAAGCCGGCGACGGGUAGCCGGCCUGAGAGGGUGACCGGCCACCUAGGGACUGAGGUACGGCCCAGACUCCUACGGGAGGCAGCAGUGGGGAAUAUUAUACAAUGGGGGCAAGCCUGAUGCAGCAGCGCCGCGUGCGGGAUGCCGGCCUUCGGGUUGUGAACCGCUUUCAGCAGGGACGAAGCUUUUUGUGAGGGAACCAGCAGAAGAGGCACCGGCUACCUCCGG
This 464-nucleotide ribosomal RNA is filed under the name uncultured bacterium. RNAcentral's name for it is "partial 16S ribosomal RNA". It matches the Rfam family "Bacterial small subunit ribosomal RNA", at positions 28 to 506 of the family's 1533-position model. The record is from RNAcentral.